This 502-nucleotide ribosomal RNA is filed under the name uncultured Burkholderiales bacterium. Its description in RNAcentral is "bacterial SSU rRNA". It matches the Rfam family "Bacterial small subunit ribosomal RNA", at positions 384 to 879 of the family's 1533-position model. The record is from RNAcentral. Lineage: Bacteria; Pseudomonadati; Pseudomonadota; Betaproteobacteria; Burkholderiales.
UGAUCCAGCCAUUCCGCGUGCGUGAAGAAGGCCUUCGGGUUGUAAACUGCUUUUGUACGGAACGAAAAGGCUCUGGCUAAUACCUGGGGCUCAUGACGGUACCGUAAGAAUAAGCACCGGCUAACUACGUGCCAGCAGCCGCGGUAAUACGUAGGGUGCAAGCGUUAAUCGGAAUUACUGGGCGUAAAGCGUGCGCAGGCGGUUUUGUAAGACAGAGGUGAAAUCCCCGGGCUCAACCUGGGAACUGCCUUUGUGACUGCUAGGCUGGAGUACGGCAGAGGGGGAUGGAAUUCCGCGUGUAGCAGUGAAAUGCGUAGAUAUGCGGAGGAACACCGAUGGCGAAGGCAAUCCCCUGGGCCUGUACUGACGCUCAUGCACGAAAGCGUGGGGAGCAAACAGGAUUAGAUACCCUGGUAGUCCACGCCCUAAACGAUGUCAACUGGUUGUUGGGUCUUAACUGACUCAGUAACGAAGCUAACGCGUGAAGUUGACCGCCUGGGGA